This 253-nucleotide ribosomal RNA is filed under the name uncultured bacterium. Its description in RNAcentral is "partial 16S ribosomal RNA". It matches the Rfam family "Bacterial small subunit ribosomal RNA", at positions 524 to 776 of the family's 1533-position model. The record is from RNAcentral.
UACGGAGGGUGCAAACGUUGCUCGGAAUCAUUGGGCGUAAAGCGCACGUAGGCGGUCUCGUAAGUCGGAUGUGAAAUCCCUGGGCUCAACCCAGGAACUGCGUCCGAUACUGGUUGGCUUGAAUCCGGGAGAGGGAUGUGGAAUUCCAGGUGUAGCGGUGAAAUGCGUAGAUAUCUGGAGGAACACCGGUGGCGAAGGCGACAUCCUGGACCGGUAUUGACGCUGAGGCGCGAAAGCCAGGGGAGCAAACGGG